Molecule: long non-coding RNA, 1374 nt
Organism: Lagopus leucura (white-tailed ptarmigan)
Lineage: Eukaryota; Metazoa; Chordata; Aves; Galliformes; Phasianidae
Exons: 5
Source: RefSeq, a predicted model, not a curated record
UGCCGAGACAAGGCUUCUCGUUUUGCAGGCUGAGCGGAGGCUGCAGCGGAGGCUCUCGUCAUCCCGAACCGGUGAGACGGUGGAAGAGGUGAGCAGUCCGGGAAUCACUAGGAGAGGCAGGGAGGCGGUGGAGUUUCUCUUCGGCUCAGAGAACUGGACAGCACGGAGCCCCGCUUUCCUCCUCAGCAAGGUGACAGCUGCCAGCGACUUGAAGGACCUUUUUCCGGAGGAGUCGCAGCGGAUUUGGCGAGGGGAGGCGACGCCGGACCCAGCCGGUAGCCUCGCGCGUGGUCGGGACGGGCGAGAGGAGAGAAGGGCUGCGGCUGUUAGUCAGCGCGCGAAGCGCAGGAGCGGCAUUGACACCCGCAAGAUGAGAAGCGAGAAGGCUUUUUCGGUGAGAGCGGCGCUGGGGUCGCGGAGUCCCCUUCUCCGGGAACGCAGCGGCACCGGAUGACUUCGUGGCAGGGUGAGGCGCGCUUGUCCGGGAGCGGUUUCACCGGCGGCGAGACGAAGGAGCCGCGAGUCCUGCGUCCGGAGGGCCGCAGGCGCCCCGGGCAUCCCGCCGGCGAGAGUCUCCGGAGCGAGGUGCAGCUUGUUUGGAGAGGAAGGUCCUUGUCCUUGGCUGAGGAGGAAGCAGAGGAGAUGGGCCAGGUGGGACUGCUCUGUGCUGUGUGCUGGAAUGGGGACGUCUAAGAAUAUCUGCGCUGAAGAGGAAUGGCUAGGCUUGGCUAGCUUGACUUGUGGUGGUGAAGUGGAUGCCUGCCUGUCUCUGACUUAAAACGACAAGAAAUCCUUGCUUACCUCCAGAAAAUCAAGAUGCGCUGCCUGGUUCUGCGCUCUGUUUUCUUCUGUUUUGUUGCUGCUGAUGUUAUUGAUCUCGGAACGCUGAAGCUGUUGGCUAUUUGGCUUUGUGUGCUCUGUAAAAAUAAAUAAAUAAAUAACGGAGAUUUAAGUCAAUAACAAAUAUUUUUAUACAGUAUGUACUGCAGAGAGCUGAGUCAGAUUUGCUUGACUUGCUGAGUGAGAGAACGCGGUAUGGUGCUAGUGUUGGUGUUGUUGCAGCCCUAUCUCUGAAUUCGAGAAAUGUUUCUAUCUGAUAGAGCUUCCUGAGCUCUGAGGAGGGUGUGCUGUCCUGAGAGCGGAGUGGGGGUGACUGCUGUGUGAGAGAAAAACUCCUUUUCAAGGUCCCUUUUCGAGAAUGAGAAAACAACCUGCUGUGCUCUGGCAGCCCUGGGCUGUUGCUGCUCCUGGCGAAGCGCGCCUGCUUUCUGACCAGUUUUUCCUUAGCUCCUGUCUGAACCUCCUGUGCCCUAACGUCAUGCUGGGGCGGGCCCUCCUCGAGUGCUGCUAUGUGCUGCUGGCUCUAGUUUAACU